RNAcentral lists this transfer RNA (71 nucleotides) under Macrocheraia grandis grandis. RNAcentral describes it as "tRNA-Lys". It matches the Rfam family "tRNA". Rfam says of the family: Transfer RNA (tRNA) molecules are approximately 80 nucleotides in length. Their secondary structure includes four short double-helical elements and three loops (D, anti-codon, and T loops). Further hydrogen bonds mediate the characteristic L-shaped molecular structure. tRNAs have two regions of fundamental functional importance: the anti-codon, which is responsible for specific mRNA codon recognition, and the 3' end, to which the tRNAs corresponding amino acid is attached (by aminoacyl-tRNA synthetases). tRNAs cope with the degeneracy of the genetic code in two manners: having more than one tRNA (with a specific anti-codon) for a particular amino acid; and 'wobble' base-pairing, i.e. permitting non-standard base-pairing at the 3rd anti-codon position. Lineage: Eukaryota; Metazoa; Arthropoda; Insecta; Hemiptera; Largidae. The record is from RNAcentral.
CAUUAAGUGGCUGAAUGUAAGCAUUGGUCUCUUAAACCAAAAUAUAGUACCUUAACAAUGUACUCUUAAUG